Molecule: long non-coding RNA, 229 nt
Filed under: Elaeis guineensis (African oil palm)
Lineage: Eukaryota; Viridiplantae; Streptophyta; Magnoliopsida; Arecales; Arecaceae
Description: long non-coding RNA (EGUI_LNC015364)
Source: RNAcentral
GUAUCUUUUCUUUGUAGAUAACUGUCUACUGGUGGGCCAGGCCUCUGCCCAGAAUGCAGCAAGAUUCCGAUGACUCUUGGAGGAGUAUUGCGCUGCAUCGAGUCAGAAAGUCAACCUCGCCAAAUCUGCAAUUAUAUUCAGUCUGAAGACUCCAAUCUAGUUGCAGGCUACGAUUAGGGAUAUCCUAGAGAUUGGAGAGCGCAAAGGGACUCUACAGUACAUGAGAGUU